Molecule: non-coding RNA, 81 nt
Filed under: Paenibacillus sp.
Lineage: Bacteria; Bacillati; Bacillota; Bacilli; Caryophanales; Paenibacillaceae
Description: ZTP sequence
Rfam family: ZMP/ZTP riboswitch aptamer (pfl RNA motif)
About the family: Previously known as pfl RNA. ZMP is also known as AICAR.
Source: RNAcentral
CAAGCCGUGUGUGACUGGCGUAACGUGGGGAACCACGAGGGAGCACAUGGAUCAUAACAGCCGUACGCCUGGGCGAAAGUA